UGGCCAGGAGAACCGGAACAGCGUGGCUGAACUGGCCAGUCAGCUCUAUCGCCAGGAGAGCUGGGGACAAGAAAGAAGGCCAAGGAGAGGUGGACAGGGCUCCCUGAUGAGGUCCACUCCAACAAAGGCUCGGGCUCUGAAUGCACAGAGGCAUUAUGGGAUUGACAGCUCCAUUGCCUGCUAUCCAGUAAGGAGGAUCCACCGAUGGCAGGCGAGGUAGCAGCAGCUCACGGCUCCACACAGCAGCCUGUUUCCAGACAGAAAGCCAACUGAAUCCACAAUGAGAGACGAGAGGCUUAUUUUAACCCGGGCAGCAAUAGACUAUUGGAAGUCAUUAGACUUGGGGGAAGUCGUGAAAAGGGGGGAGGAGGAGGAGGAGGAGGCCAGGAAAUGAUUGAAUGAAUAAAAAAAACUAAAUGCCAAGUAGAUAGGAAGGAAAACACAUCAGAACUGGUCAAAGGAUUUUCAUUGUGACUGAUAUGAAUAUAAAUAUCAAAUGUCAGUUCUUAUUUGUAAGACGGAAACAAAUGGAUAAAUAAACUUACCCCAGGAAAGCAAACAGCAGGAUCUCCAGUGGGUAGAAAGGUAAAGAAGUGGGGAAAUCAGUUUUGAACAACGCCUGAAGAGUCUCUGAGGACACAACACAAACAUCAGUUAUCCCUCCUAUUUCUCCCGCAGACGUUCAGAAUCUAGUCUCCUUCAAUUUAUUGCACAUAUUUUACUGAAAUUUACAAUCUGUUUAAGUGUUUCUGCUAAUUUUGCCAAAGCUGAUGUUUCCUGUUAAUGUCGUGACAAGACAUUAAAAAAAUCACUGUAAAUGUAAAGUCCUUUUUUACUUUAUUGGGACUAGAGAAUCUUAAUGAGGCUCCAACACUGUGAUUAGUGAAUAUUAAAACAGUAUGAAACUGUUUACAGAAUGACUCACAAUAAACAAUAAAGAUAUUAAACAUUGAGCACAAACACAAUCAUUUCUGUUUUUGAAAUGUAAAAUUGUUAUUGCCGUGUAAAUUG
This is a long non-coding RNA of Seriola aureovittata, 1011 nucleotides long. RefSeq lists it as uncharacterized. The record is from RefSeq and is a predicted model, not a curated record. The transcript is spliced from 3 exons. NCBI's taxonomy places the organism in Eukaryota, Metazoa, Chordata, Actinopteri, Carangiformes, Carangidae.